UGAGGAAUAUUGGACAAUGGGCGCAAGCCUGAUCCAGCCAUGCCGCGUGCAGGAAGAAGCAUCUAUGGUGUGUAAACUGCUUUUGUACGGGAAGAAACACUCCUUCGUGAAGGAGCUUGACGGUACCGUAAGAAUAAGGAUCGGCUAACUCCGUGCCAGCAGCCGCGGUAUUACGGAGGAUCCAAGCGUUAUCCGGAAUCAUUGGGUUUAAAGGGUCCGUAGGCGGUUUAGUAAGUCAGUGGUGAAAGCCCAUCGCUCAACGAUGGAACGGCCAUUGAUACUGCUAGACUUGAAUUAUUAGGAAGUAACUAGAAUAUGUAGUGUAGCGGUGAAAUGUUUAGAUAUUACAGGGAAAACCAAUGGCGAAGGCAGGUUACUACUAAUGGAUUGACGCUGAUGGACGAAAGCGGGGGGAGCGAACA
Molecule: ribosomal RNA, 422 nt
Filed under: uncultured bacterium
Lineage: Bacteria
Description: bacterial SSU rRNA
Rfam family: Bacterial small subunit ribosomal RNA
Source: RNAcentral